GCCUGGCUGGCUCAGUUGGUAGAGCGUGCAACUCCUGAUCUCACAUCAUGAGUUUGAGCCUCAUGUUGGGCA
This is a non-coding RNA of Leopardus geoffroyi (Geoffroy's cat), 72 nucleotides long. NCBI's taxonomy places the organism in Eukaryota, Metazoa, Chordata, Mammalia, Carnivora, Felidae. The record is from the annotation of a RefSeq genome assembly.